ACGGGUAGCCGGCCUGAGAGGGUGACCGGCCACACUGGGACUGAGACACGGCCCAGACUCCUACGGGAGGCAGCAGUGGGGAAUAUUGCACAAUGGGCGCAAGCCUGAUGCAGCGACGCCGCGUGAGGGAUGACAGCCUUCGGGUUGUAAACCUCUUUCAGUAGGGAAGAAGCGAAAGUGACGGUACCUGCAGAAGAAGCACCGGCUAACUACGUGCCAGCAGCCGCGGUAAUACGUAGGGUGCGAGCGUUAUCCGGAAUUAUUGGGCGUAAAGAGCUCGUAGGCGGUUUGUCGCGUCUGUCGUGAAAGUCCGGGGCUUAACCCCGGAUCUGCGGUGGGUACGGGCAGACUAGAGUGCAGUAGGGGAGACUGGAAUUCCUGGUGUAGCGGUGGAAUGCGCAGAUAUCAGGAGGAACACCGAUGGCGAAGGCAGGUCUCUGGGCUGUAACUGACGCUGAGGAGCGAAAGCAUGGGGAGCGAACAGGAUUAGAUACCCUGGUAGUCCAUGCCGUAAACGUUGGGCACUAGGUGUGGGGACCAUUCCACGGUUUCCGCGCCGCAGCUAACGCAUUAAGUGCCCCGCCUGGGGGAGUACGGCCGCAAGGCUAAAACUCAAAGGAAUUGACGGGGGCCCGCACAAGCGGCGGAGCAUGCGGAUUAAUUCGAUGCAACGCGAAGAACCUUACCAAGGCUUGACAUGUUCUCGAUCGCCGUAGAGAUACGGUUUCCCCUUUGGGGCGGGUUCACAGGUGGUGCAUGGUUGUCGUCAGCUCGUGUCGUGAGAUGUUGGGUUAAGUCCCGCAACGAGCGCAACCCUCGUUCCAUGUUGCCAGCACGUAAUGGUGGGGACUCAUGGGAGACUGCCGGGGUCAACUCGGAGGAAGGUGAGGACGACGUCAAAUCAUCAUGCCCCUUAUGUCUUGGGCUUCACGCAUGCUACAAUGGCC
RNAcentral lists this ribosomal RNA (947 nucleotides) under Micrococcus luteus. Its description in RNAcentral is "bacterial SSU rRNA". It matches the Rfam family "Bacterial small subunit ribosomal RNA", at positions 279 to 1235 of the family's 1533-position model. The record is from RNAcentral. Lineage: Bacteria; Bacillati; Actinomycetota; Actinomycetes; Micrococcales; Micrococcaceae.